AUUGAACGCUGGCGGCAGGCCUAACACAUGCAAGUCGAGCGGAGCGGCGGACGGGGGAGUAAUGCCUAGGAAUCUGCCUGGUCGUGGGGGAUAACGUCCGGAAACGGGCGCUAAUACCGCAUACUAUCAGAUGAGCCUAGGUCGGAUUAGCUAGUUGGUGGGGUAAGGGCUUACCUAGGCGACGAUCCGUAACUGGUCUGAGAGGAUGAUCAGUCACACGGGAACUGAGACCGGGUCCAGACUCCUACGGGAGGCAGCAGUGGGGAAUAUUGCACAAUGGGCGAAAGGCUGAUCCAGCCAUGCCGAGUGUGUGAAGAAGGUCUUCGGAUGGUAAAGCACUUUAAGUUGGGAGGCGGUACCAACAGAAUAAGCACCGGCUAACUUCGUGCCAGCAGCCGCGGUAAUUC
Molecule: ribosomal RNA, 407 nt
Filed under: uncultured bacterium
Lineage: Bacteria
Description: partial 16S ribosomal RNA
Rfam family: Bacterial small subunit ribosomal RNA
Source: RNAcentral